This 250-nucleotide ribosomal RNA is filed under the name uncultured bacterium. RNAcentral's name for it is "partial 16S ribosomal RNA". It matches the Rfam family "Bacterial small subunit ribosomal RNA", at positions 524 to 773 of the family's 1533-position model. The record is from RNAcentral.
UACGGAGGUCCCAAGCGUUGUUCGGAAUUACUGGGCGUAAAGGGAGCGCAGGCGGACAGCUUAGUCUAAAGUGGAAUCCCAGGGCUCAACCCUGGACGUGCUUUGGAUACUGGCUGUCUUGAGUUCGUGAGAGGAAAGUGGAAUUCAGGGUGUAGCGGUGAAAUGCUUAGAUAUCCUGAGGAACACCAGUGGCGAAAGCGACUUUCUGGCACGUAACUGACGCUGAGGCUCGAAAGCGUGGGUAGCGAAC